This 483-nucleotide ribosomal RNA is filed under the name uncultured bacterium. RNAcentral describes it as "partial 16S ribosomal RNA". It matches the Rfam family "Bacterial small subunit ribosomal RNA", at positions 28 to 523 of the family's 1533-position model. The record is from RNAcentral.
GACGAACGCUGGCGGCGUGCUUAACACAUGCAAGUCGAACGAUGAUGCCCAGCUUGCUGGGUGGAUUAGUGGCGAACGGAUGAGUAACACGUGAGUAACCUGCCCCUGACUCUGGGAUAAGCGUUGGAAACGACGUCUAAUACUGGAUAUGACUGCCGGCCGCAUGGUCUGGUGGUGGAAAGAUUUUUUGGUUGGGGAUGGACUCGCGGCCUAUCAGCUUGUUGGUGAGGUAAUGGCUCACCAAGGCGACGACGGGUAGCCGGCCUGAGAGGGUGACCGGCCACACUGGGACCGAGACACGGCCCAGACUCCUACGGGAGGCAGCAGUGGGGAAUAUUGCACAAUGGGCGAAAGCCUGAUGCAGCAACGCCGCGUGAGGGAUGACGGCCUUCGGGUUGUAAACCUCUUUUAGUAGGGAAGAAGCGAAAGUGACGGUACCUGCAGAAAAAGCACCGGCUAACUACGUGCCAGCCGCCGCAGUAA